Molecule: ribosomal RNA, 1464 nt
Filed under: uncultured bacterium
Lineage: Bacteria
Description: partial 16S ribosomal RNA
Rfam family: Bacterial small subunit ribosomal RNA
Source: RNAcentral
AGAGUUUGAUCCUGGCUCAGAACGAACGCUGGCGGCAGGCCUAACACAUGCAAGUCGAGCGCCCAGCAAUGGGAGCGGCAGACGGGUGAGUAACACGUGGGAACCUUCCCUAUAGUACGGAAUAGCCCAGGGAAACUUGGAGUAAUACCGCAUACGCCCGAGAGGGGAAAGAUUUAUCGCUAUAGGAUGGGCCCGCGUAGGAUUAGCUAGUUGGUGAGGUAAUGGCUCACCAAGGCGACGAUCCUUAGCUGGUCUGAGAGGACGACCAGCCACACUGGAACUGAGACACGGUCCAGACUCCUACGGGAGGCAGCAGUGGGGAAUUUUGGACAAUGGGGGCAACCCUGAUCCAGCAAUGCCGUGUGAGUGAAGAAGGCCUUCGGGUUGUAAAGCUCUUUUGUCAGGGAAGAAACGGUGAUCUCUAAUAUAGAUUGCUAAUGACGGUACCUGAAGAAUAAGCACCGGCUAACUACGUGCCAGCAGCCGCGGUAAUACGUAGGGUGCAAGCGUUAAUCGGAAUUACUGGGCGUAAAGCGUGCGCAGGCGGUUAUAUAAGUCAGAUGUGAAAUCCCCGGGCUCAACCUGGGAACUGCAUUUGAGACUGUAUGGCUAGAGUGUGUCAGAGGGGGGUAGAAUUCCACGUGUAGCAGUGAAAUGCGUAGAUAUGUGGAGGAAUACCGAUGGCGAAGGCAGCCCCCUGGGAUAACACUGACGCUCAUGCACGAAAGCGUGGGGAGCAAACAGGAUUAGAUACCCUGGUAGUCCACGCCCUAAACGAUGUCUACUAGUUGUUGGGUCUUAAUUGACUUAGUAACGCAGCUAACGCGUGAAGUAGACCGCCUGGGGAGUACGGUCGCAAGAUUAAAACUCAAAGGAAUUGACGGGGACCCGCACAAGCGGUGGAUGAUGUGGAUUAAUUCGAUGCAACGCGAAAAACCUUACCUACCCUUGACAUGUACAGAAUGCCGAAGAGAUUUGGCGGUGCUCGCAAGAGAACUGUAACACAGGUGCUGCAUGGCUGUCGUCAGCUCGUGUCGUGAGAUGUUGGGUUAAGUCCCGCAACGAGCGCAACCCUUGUCACUAGUUGCUACGAAAGGGCACUCUAAUGAGACUGCCGGUGACAAACCGGAGGAAGGUGGGGAUGACGUCAAGUCCUCAUGGCCCUUAUGGGUAGGGCUUCACACGUCAUACAAUGGUACAUACAGAGGGCCGCCAACCCGCGAGGGGGAGCUAAUCCCAGAAAGUGUAUCGUAGUCCGGAUUGUAGUCUGCAACUCGACUACAUGAAGUUGGAAUCGCUAGUAAUCGCGGAUCAGCAUGUCGCGGUGAAUACGUUCCCGGGUCUUGUACACACCGCCCGUCACACCAUGGGAGCGGGUUCUGCCAGAAGUAGGUAGCUUAACCGUAAGGAGGGCGCUUACCACGGCAGGGUUCGUGACUGGGGUGAAGUCGUAACAAGGUAACC